Molecule: small RNA, 37 nt
Filed under: Anaerobutyricum hallii
Lineage: Bacteria; Bacillati; Bacillota; Clostridia; Lachnospirales; Lachnospiraceae
Description: CRISPR_Spacer
Source: RNAcentral
UUAAUGAUAAAAUUGGUUAUGAUGAAAUUAUCGCACC